This 86-nucleotide transfer RNA is filed under the name Planctomycetaceae bacterium. RNAcentral's name for it is "tRNA-Ser". It matches the Rfam family "tRNA". Rfam says of the family: Transfer RNA (tRNA) molecules are approximately 80 nucleotides in length. Their secondary structure includes four short double-helical elements and three loops (D, anti-codon, and T loops). Further hydrogen bonds mediate the characteristic L-shaped molecular structure. tRNAs have two regions of fundamental functional importance: the anti-codon, which is responsible for specific mRNA codon recognition, and the 3' end, to which the tRNAs corresponding amino acid is attached (by aminoacyl-tRNA synthetases). tRNAs cope with the degeneracy of the genetic code in two manners: having more than one tRNA (with a specific anti-codon) for a particular amino acid; and 'wobble' base-pairing, i.e. permitting non-standard base-pairing at the 3rd anti-codon position. The record is from RNAcentral. Lineage: Bacteria; Pseudomonadati; Planctomycetota; Planctomycetia; Planctomycetales; Planctomycetaceae.
GGAAGGCAGCCGGAUACGGUUCGCCGGGCCUCACUGCUAAUGAGUGCCUCCACCAGGAGAUGCGGGUUCGACUCCCGCGCCUUCCG